AUACAGAGGGUGCGAGCGUUAAUCGGAAUUACUGGGCGUAAAGCGCGCGUAGGCGGCUUAUUAAGUCAGAUGUGAAAUCCCCGGGCUCAACCUGGGAACUGCAUCUGAUACUGGCAAGCUAGAGUUUUGGAGAGGGAAGUAGAAUUUCAGGUGUAGCGGUGAAAUGCAUAGAGAUCUGAAGGAAUACCAGUGGCGAAGGCGACUUCCUGGCCAAAAACUGACGCUGAGGUGCGAAAGCGUGGGUAGCAAACGGGAUUAGAAACCCUAGUAGUCC
RNAcentral lists this ribosomal RNA (274 nucleotides) under uncultured bacterium. RNAcentral describes it as "partial 16S ribosomal RNA". It matches the Rfam family "Bacterial small subunit ribosomal RNA", at positions 523 to 796 of the family's 1533-position model. The record is from RNAcentral.